This is an RNA transcript of Carlito syrichta (Philippine tarsier), 3269 nucleotides long. It is a transcript of the gene named oxysterol-binding protein-related protein 11 pseudogene, with no coding region annotated. The record is from RefSeq and is a predicted model, not a curated record. Lineage: Eukaryota; Metazoa; Chordata; Mammalia; Primates; Tarsiidae. The transcript has a single exon.
AUGGACUUUGGCGUUAAGAUGCAGGGAGUCGAACCAGUGUCAACAAUGAAAGUCUCAGAGAGCGAGGGAAAGCUGGAGGGCCUGGCCACAGCGGUGACCCCGAACAACAAGAACAGCAGCAACAGCAGCUGUGGGGGUGGCAGCAGCAGCAGCAGCAGUAGCAGUAGCCACGGUGGCAGUGCAAAAGGCUGGCAGUACAGUGAUCACAUGGAAAAUGUGUAUGGUUAUUUAAUGAAGCACACCAACCUUGUCACUGGGUGACAAUACAGGUUUUUUGUUUUAAACAAUGAAGCUGGGCUAUUGGAGUACUUUGUAAAUGAACAGUCUAGAAAUCAGAAACCUAGAGGUACUUUGCAGCUUGCAGGCGCUGUAAUAUCACCCAGUGAUGCGGGUUCUCACACCUUCACUGUAAACGCUCCCAGUGGGGAACAGUAUAAACUCAGAGCCACAGAUGCUAAAGAGCGACAACACUGGGUAAGCAGACUUCAGAUUUGUACACAACAUCAUACUGAAGCUAUUGGAAAGAAUAAUCCUCCUCUGAAGUCACGGAGCUUCUCACCGGCAUCUAGUGGUAAUUCUCCUAUAUCCCAGAGGAGACCAAGUCAAAAUGCCAUUUCUUUUUUUAAUGUUGGACAUUCCAAACUGCAAUCAGUGAGCAAAAGAGCUCACUUACCUCCAGACCAUCUUGUGGAAGUCAGAGAAAUGAUGUCUCAUGCUGAAGGACAACAAAGAGACUUAAUUAGACGAAUUGAAUGCCUUUCUGCUUCUGGCCAUCUUACUUCCUUGGACCAGGAUCUCUUAAUGCUCAAAGUGACUUCCAUGGCGACUAUGAACUGCUUAAAUGACUGUUUUCAUAUUCUCCAGUUGCAGCAUGCAUCACAUCAGAAGGGCUCAUUGCCUUCAGGAGCGACAAUCGAGUGGUUGGAACCAAAGAUACCUUUAUCAAACCACUAUAAAAAUGGGGCUGACCAGCCCUUUGCAACUGAGCAGAGCAAGCCGGUGGCAGUCCCAGAAGAGCAGUCUGUGGCAGAAUCUGGACUAUUAGUAAGGGAACCAGAAGAAAUAAAUGCAGAUGAUGAGAUGGAGGAUACAUGUGACAACAAGGAGGAUGACCUGGGAGCUGUAGAAGAGCAGCGCAGUGUCAUCCUGCAUCUCUUGUUGCAGCUCAAGCUGGGCAUGGACUUAACAAGAGUGGUGCUUCCUACAUUUGUCCUAGAGAAGCGUUCCUUACUGGAAAUGUAUGCAGACUUUAUGUCCCAUCCAGACCUAUUUAUAGCCAUCACUAAUGGAGCCACAGCUGAGGACAGAAUGAUUCGCUUUGUUGAGUACUACCUUACCUCAUUUCAUGAAGGCCGUAAGGGAGCCAUUGCUAAGAAACCAUACAGUCCUAUCAUUGGAGAAACAUUUCACUGUUCCUGGAGGAUGCCAAAAAGUGAGGUAGCACGCAGUGCUAUUAGCAGCUCUUCCACCCAGGCAGUCACAAAUCAUGCUUCUCUAUCAGAGGAGUCUUCAAGCCGGGGGGAUCAGACUGUUACACAGUCAGAUUUGUUGCUGAACAGGUUUCCCAUCAUCCUCCAGUCUCAGGAUUUUAUGCAGAAUGUGCAGAGAAGAAGAUGUGUGUAAAUGCACAUGUCUGGACUAAGAGCAAGUUCUUAGGCAUGUCUAUAGGCGUGACAAUGGUUGGAGAAGGUGUCCUCAGUCUAUUGGAGCAUGGAGAAGAGUAUACAUUUUCUCUACCUUGUGCAUAUACCCACUUGAUUUUGACUGUUCCUUGGGUAGAACUGGGUGGAAAAGUCGGUGUCAACUGUGCAAAAACUGGAUAUUCAGCCAGCAACACUUUUCAUUCUAAGCCAUUUUAUGGUGGUAAACUGCACUGGGUUACAGCUGAAGUAAAGCACAACAUCACCAACACUGUGGUAUGCCGAGUGCAAGGGGAAUGGAAUAGUGUUCUAGAGUUCACUUACAGCAAUGGAGAGACAAAGUAUGUGGACUUGACUAAAUUGGCAGUGAUGAGGAAAAGAGUAAGACCUCUGGAGAAGCAGGACCCAUUUGAGUCCAGGCGAUUGUGGAAAGAUGUGACAGAUUCUCUGAGGGAAUCCGAAAUUGACAAGGCCACAGAGCAUAAAUGUGCCCUGGAAGAGCAUCAGAGGACUGAAGAAAGGCAUUGCACUGAAACUAGCACACCCUGGAAAACCAAAUAUUUUAUUAAAGAGGGAGAUGGCUGGGUUUAUCACAAACCCCUCUGGAAAAUAAUUCCAGCGACACAACCAGCAGAGUGACACAUGCUAUCUAAGACUCAACCAGUGAGGCUCUUCUGUUUACCCUAAACCCUCUCAGAGUGGAGUCAUUGCACUGAGUGAUCUGCUUCUUACUGUGCAGACUGAAACUAGCUCAUCAUGAAUGUACUACUAGGCACCAUGGUACUGCAGCAAGACCAAAGUGUUGAAGAGACAUGAUGAACCUCUCACCAACUUGUUCAUGUCAUGUGAGCAAUACCAUCUUAAAACCUUGUACCCAAAUUAUUAGAUGAUUAAUCUUUUAUCUAGGUCCCACUCCUAAAGCUAAGUUUGAAUCCCCUAUUUUGUACAGGGACAGCAGAUACAUACAACAAUGAGAACUCAGUGACUUUGGUUUCUUUAUAGUGAAAAGCAAAGUUUCUGUUUCUGAGUUUGUGUUUUGCUUUCUGUCCAAAACUGAAGUAUUCACUACUCUUAUGAACCAACCAAGAGGAGGAGAAAGAUGACCCAGAAGUGGAUUCAGCCAUUGUGCCUGAAAUCAGUGUUAAUAAACAAAUCAACCAGGUUGUGGUAACAAGGCGUUCUAUGUCUUCAAAAAGACUGUGUGCCUGUGUCUGAAGAACUUAUCCAUGAUCCCCCUCUGUUGGAACUCUCUUUUAAAAAGUAUAUUUAUAGAUUGAUUUAGAUUGAUUAGAAUUAUAACCAUGGAGAAUUUUUUCUUCUGAGCAUUUUAAUAUACUUGAAAACAACAUUGACUUGAAAAAUUUCAGAACAUUUUUCAAUACCUAGUUUUAUUAAAUAUUACACUUGAGAGACAAUUUUUAAAAAUCUGUUCAUGUCAAUACGAUGACAUUUUGACCUUCUCAAGAACUAAGGCAUUAAAGAAAAUGGCAAAUAUUUUAAAAAAACGUUAUUUUUUUCUUACCUUUUUUUCACUUCUAGGUUAAUAUCCAGUAUUAUACUAUCCCUUUGGAUAAGAAUACUUUAUUUUACCUCUGUUCACUUAAAAAUUAAAACAAUUGAUUCUAUUCA